Molecule: long non-coding RNA, 1584 nt
Organism: Numida meleagris (helmeted guineafowl)
Lineage: Eukaryota; Metazoa; Chordata; Aves; Galliformes; Numididae
Source: Ensembl
UGGAUCUAUGGGGUCUUCUAGGGUCAGAUCUGUGGGGCCCAUGGGGUGGGAUCUGUGGGGUGAUCUCAGUUCUCUUGGUUGGAUCUAUGGGGCCCAUUGGGUUUGAUCUAUGGGGUCUGUUAGCAAGGACCCGGGGGGCCAGGUGGUCGUCCAUCUGUGGGGUCUGUUAGUAUUGAGUCUGUGGGGCCCAUGGGGUUGGAUCUAUGGGGCCCAGUGGGUAAUGAUCUAUGGGGCCCUUUAGGAUUGGAGCUAUGGGGCCCGUUCACCUGGGGUCUGUGGGGUGGUAGAUUGAUCCUAGUGGUGGUCAAUGGAUCUGUGGGGCUCGUGGGGUGGGAUCUAUGGGGUGAUUGUUCCCUGUUCUCUUGGUUGGGUCUAUGGGUCCAAUAGGGUGGGAUCUAUGGGGCCCGUGGGGUGGGACUUGUGGGGUGUUUGGUUGUUCCCUGUUCUGUUGGUUGGAUCUAUGGGGCACGUUGGGGUCAGAUCCUGUUGGUUUUGCAUCUGUGGGGCUGGUGGGAUCCAAUCUGUGGGGCUCAUUGAGAUUUGUGGGGUCAGAUCUGUGGGGCUCAUUGAGAUCUGUGGGGCUGGAUCCGUGGAGCUUGCGGAGAUCUGUGGGGUGGGAUGUGUGGGGCUGGAUCCGUGGGGCGCUCACUGUUCCCUGUUAACCUGUGCUUCAAUCCAUGGGGUGCAUGCAGUGCGCACUUGGGGGGCAGAGCUUUGGGAUCUAUGGGGCAGAGCUGGGGGAUCUAUGGGGCAGAGCUGUGGGGCACUGUUACAGUCCCUCUGUGGGGUGCGUGCUGGGCGGGGGGGAGGGAAUCUGUGGGGCAGAGCCUGCUGGUAGCUGUGGGGCACGCGGUGCGGCACUUGUGGGGCAGGCUGUGGGGCACGCACCGCUUGUUGUGGGGCAGAGCUGUGGGGUGGAGCGUUGCUGCUUCUGGGGUCAAGGCUGGGGGGGGGAUGGUUCUUUGUGGGGCGCGUGCGUUGCUUGCCCCACACUUGUGGGGCAAGAUGGGGGCCCAGGCUAGGGCCUCGCUGCUAUGGGGCUGAGGGUGUGGGGCUGGUAGGGGAGCUGUGGGGCUGGCUGUGGGGCUGGCAGUAGGUUAUGGGGCUGGUUAGGGAGCCUGGGGGUGGAUCUGCGGGGCUGGCAGUGGGUUAUGGGGCCAAUACGGGAUCUGUGGGGCUGGCCAUAGGUUAUGGGGCUGGUAGAGAAUCUGUGGGGCCAUCUAUGGGGCUGACAGGGGAUCUGUGGGGCUGACGGUGGAUGUAGGGGGUUGAAGACCUAUGGGGCAGGCAGGGGAUGCGUGGGGCCGAAGAUCUAUGGGGUGCCAACAGGCUGGCGGGGAGGGAGAGGGAAUCAAUGGGGCGACGUGUGGGGCCAGCCGGGGACGUGUGGGGCGCGCCGUGGGGCGGGCUGACCCCUAUCCCUGCAGCGCCGCCGGGUGCCCCGCUCGCGCCGAGGAAACACCGCAGCCUCUCCCCGGCCCCACGGCGGCCGGCCGGUAGGUGUGGGGCAGCGCCGUGGGGCAGAAGCCGUGGGGCAGAAGCCGUGGGGCGGAGCCGUGGGGCAGCAGGCCCCGCCCCCUUUCC